UACGAAGGGGGCAAGCGUUACUCGGAUUUACUGGGCGUAAAGCGUGCGUAGGCGGUUAUGUAAGUUGGAAGUGAAAGCCUAGGGCUCAACCCUAGAAUGGCUUUCAAGACUGCAUAGCUAGAGUAUUAGAGAGGAUAGCAGAAUUCCUAGUGUAGAGGUGAAAUUCGUAGAUAUUAGGAGGAAUACCGGAAGCGAAAGCGGCUAUCUGGCUAGUUACUGACGCUGUUGCACGAAAGCGUGGGGAGCAAACAGG
Molecule: ribosomal RNA, 253 nt
Filed under: uncultured bacterium
Lineage: Bacteria
Description: partial 16S ribosomal RNA
Rfam family: Bacterial small subunit ribosomal RNA
Source: RNAcentral